UUAGUCUUUGGACCCCCUCCAGUGUGAGCAUUACUUGGGCAAUUACUUUCCCCGUAAUGUAGCAGAUGCAAGUUAACAGAUACUGAAACUACACAAGACCUUAGACAGAUAAACAUGUACCAGCGUGACUUUGAGCAGUCAGGACAAUAGAGAGGACUUUUAAUGCACAAAAGCAGAACAAAGGAUCAAAUCACACUAAUAAAUCAAAUCAGAACAAAAACGAAAGCCUCGAGUGUGUGUUCGAGGAAGCCCAGACGCAGAAGGAAUCCAGAGGAGUGAUGCGCUGAGCGGGGUCCCGGGCUUCCAUCUGUCAGAAUCACUCAUUCCAGAGCAGCAGAAAUCUACCAGCGGAGUUUCCUGUGACUUCCGGCCUCGGCGAGGCAGGUUCAGGCAGCCUCAGGCUCAGCCCAUGGGAGAGGCCUCCUCCCAAUCACAGACCCUUCCUGGUGCCAGAGCUUGGAAGAACUGCCGCAGGGUAGAAAAGGACCUCAGGGCAGCGCGGCUCGCAGAGCAGCCGGCCCGGUGCCAGGAGGAGGAGACGGCGCUGUGAGUAGAUGGAUGUCGCUGGGCAGGGAAGCCAACCGCACUCUCUAUGAGCAAAGGAACUCGCAGAGUGUUGAGCAAUUGGAGUAAAUCAUCCUGAUGCCAGGCCGCCGGGCAGUUCUCCACAGGGUGGGGCCCACGGGGGCCGUUCCUGCACAUGGAAAACUUCGUGAGGAAAGAAUCUGAGAAAAUCAUUCCCAGUGAGGCAUUGACAUUGAUGCCUCGCCAGACUCCAUGUGCCUCUUUUAUAGGUCUUUGCACUCUAAUCAGGAGCAAAGGGGUCAUUCUCUAGUCGUGGGAUUUCAGAAAUUGGGUGAGGAGUGAGGAUGACUUUGAAUGGAGGGCGAGGUGGAAGGCUCUCUCCUCGCCAGCUUUGUUUAUGUGACUCCCCCAGUGGCUUAACUUGUA
This 951-nucleotide long non-coding RNA is filed under the name Equus caballus (horse). RNAcentral describes it as "lncRNA (ENSECAG00000050079.1)". Lineage: Eukaryota; Metazoa; Chordata; Mammalia; Perissodactyla; Equidae. The record is from RNAcentral.